GUUCAGAAGUGUGCUGUUCCCAUGUGGGUAUACGAGUAGCUGCGCUCCCCUGCUAGAACCUCCAAACAAGCCCUCAAGGUCCAUUUGUAGGAGAACGUAGGGGAGUCAAGCUUCCAAGACUCCAGA
Long non-coding RNA from Leopardus geoffroyi (Geoffroy's cat), 126 nucleotides. RefSeq lists it as uncharacterized. The transcript has 4 exons. The record is from RefSeq and is a predicted model, not a curated record. NCBI's taxonomy places the organism in Eukaryota, Metazoa, Chordata, Mammalia, Carnivora, Felidae.